Molecule: long non-coding RNA, 615 nt
Organism: Cucurbita maxima (winter squash)
Lineage: Eukaryota; Viridiplantae; Streptophyta; Magnoliopsida; Cucurbitales; Cucurbitaceae
Exons: 6
Source: RefSeq, a predicted model, not a curated record
GAGAAAAAUUGUACUGACCUGUUGCCAAGAUUUCUUGCAGAGAAGAUGCUAUGGCCAUGGCAGAACCAAACAGUAUAUAAAUGCCUUGGCUGUUCUGCACUGCUCCUUGAUGAUUAGCUGAAAGUUUGGCAUACUUUUAAAUGAGUGGACUUCACUAAACAUGACUACGGCAUGUCAAAUGCUUAACAGGAGCUUUCAACAUUGUCGACAAAGAUACAUAAACUAACGAUGGAUUUGGGCUGUUUAUGAGCCCAGCCAAGGUAUUGCCCGAGUUGAUGGUGGAGGAUGUAAUACCUUCGCUGAAAGCAAUACUUGGAGCACGAGGCGAUGUCUCUUAUGUCGGAUUAUCGUUCCAAGAUGACAGAUUGGAUGGUUCAUUCUUGAAAAAUGGAGUUCCCUACUUGGGCUUUCUUCCCCAAUGGCCUCUCGGAUACAAAAAUGAUGAAUGCAAGUAUGAACAAAUUAUCAACAAUCUGUCGAUCAGUGAUAAUCUUUGAUGUUUGAUGCUAAGACGCGACCCAUCAGGUUAAAUGAUGAAUAGGUCCAAAAGUGUGAGAUCCCACAUUGGUUGGAGAGGGUAACGGAACAUUCUUUAUAAGAGUGUGGAAAACUUUC